AAUAAAACGUUGAGAGAAUAGUACUUAAAUAAGUUGUUUUAGAGAGUUGACGCUUGGUGAAAGUCAAUACAAUGAAUUAAGGAAUCCACUUUCCCUAAAGAAUAUAUAACGAAAACACGAUGUGGUUAAGUUAUAUCGGAUGCAAACCGUUAUUUGCUUACUAAUGAAGGCACGUUUGUGCAAAAUCUGGGUGGUACCGUGAAAUUUAACCUUUCGCCCCAAAA
RNAcentral lists this non-coding RNA (224 nucleotides) under Vagococcus fluvialis. RNAcentral's name for it is "T-box sequence". It matches the Rfam family "T-box leader". From Rfam's summary of the family: Uncharged tRNA acts as the effector for transcription antitermination of genes in the T-box leader family. T-boxes are found upstream of many aminoacyl-tRNA synthetase genes and some amino acid biosynthetic genes usually in Gram-positive bacteria. The record is from RNAcentral. Lineage: Bacteria; Bacillati; Bacillota; Bacilli; Lactobacillales; Enterococcaceae.